ACCCCAAGGCCCCAGGCCCAACAUUAGGAAAACUAACCCCUGUGCCCUGAAGCUGCAAGAUGUUCCCUCACCCAACCCCCAUGUCAAAACCCCUCCAGCAGCAUGUAGCACCUCAGGUGUUGCACAAUGUUACCACAAGAUGUUCCAUGUAGAUAACCCUAACGGGCCCCCUAUCACAAGAUGUUCCUUUUAGACAGUCCUACUGGUUAAACUUGAGAACUAGGUUUAAAAACAGGAACUGAAAGGACAGAAUGCAAUUUUAUGGUUUUUCUGAGAACAAAAAGUUGAAAAACAAGUUUACCCCCCUAGGUGACUCAACUGCUGAAUUCAGAGGGACCAAUAGGAAGGCUGUUGCUGUGCUAAGCUAAGACCUAACCCACCUGUUCCAUAUAAAAGAUCUAUACCCCAAAGCCCGGUGUGCCAGCUCAUCGAAGCUCCGGCUGAGGUUUUGCUGUGCACCCGCAGGCGCCUGUGUGAGAAUAAACGCCUCCUGCUUUUUGCAGCCAGUGUCUCGUGUGGUUCAUUCCGGGUUUGGGAUCUGUGGAUAUUUCAUUGUGGAGGUUCCACCGAGAUCCAAGAUCCCGGUUCCGGUUCCGAUCCCGGUCCCUAUCCGGAGGACACCCGACAUCACUGGGAGACUCAUUUGCAUGCUUUGCAAUUGGUCCAGAACGAGGUCUGGAAGCCUCUAGCCGCAGCAUACAAAGAGGAACUUAAAACCCCCUUGCUGCCACAUCCCUUCAAGGUCGGAGAUACCGUCUGGGUAUGCAGGCACCAGAGCAGGAACCUCGAACCGCGGUGGAAAGGACCCUACACUAUCCUGCUGACCACUCCUACUGCACUCAAAGUGGACGGCAUCGCUGCUUAGAUCCAUGCUUCCCACGUGAAGACUGCACAUCCACAGGAGUCCGCAGACACCUCUCCGGAUCCAGAAUGGAAGUUGCAACGUACCCAAAAUCCGCUAAAGAUAAGACUCACUCGCUGUUAAUUUUUCUUGCUUUGUGCUGUGUCUUCCCCAUAUCAGUUAACCCCAACCAAUCUGUGAGCCAGACAUGACAAGUAUUAUUAGGGACAAAAAAUAUAAUUUAAAAAAAAAAAAAAAAAAAAAAAACAGGAUCCCCCACUUUCUGCCGACUCUUGCAGGAGCCUAAAAUGGUACGGGGCAGGGCCAUGUACCGCAUUUGCCUGCAACCCCUUAAACAUUACCUUUACUCAGGCAGGCAAAGCAUCAAAAGAUUAGAUAAAAAAAAAAAAAAAACAAUGGGGCCUGAGAGUAUAUCAUAAAACUGCCUAUGACCCUGGGGUCCUAUUCAAAAUUAGAUUAAUAGUAAAUACCAACCCCCAACCAGUAUGCUGAGCCGUCAGCUGAAAUAAUGCUGGAAUCCAAGCAGAUGGGUCAAUGGAUAUAAGAUUAUAUCCAUGAUAUAAAAAAAAAAGGGGGGAAUGAAGGACCCCAAGGCCCCAGGCCCAACAUUAGGAAAACUAACCCCUGUGCCCUGAAGCUGCAAGAUGUUCCCUCACCCAACCCCCAUGUCAAAACCCCUCCAGCAGCAUGUAGCACCUCAGGUGUUGCACAAUGUUACCACAAGAUGUUCCAUGUAGAUAACCCUAACGGGCCCCCUAUCACAAGAUGUUCCUUUUAGACAGUCCUACUGGUUAAACUUGAGAACUAGGUUUAAAAACAGGAACUGAAAGGACAGAAUGCAAUUUUAUGGUUUUUCUGAGAACAAAAAGUUGAAAAACAAGUUUACCCCCCUAGGUGACUCAACUGCUGAAUUCAGAGGGACCAAUAGGAAGGCUGUUGCUGUGCUAAGCUAAGACCUAACCCACCUGUUCCAUAUAAAAGAUCUAUACCCCAAAGCCCGGUGUGCCAGCUCAUCGAAGCUCCGGCUGAGGUUUUGCUGUGCACCCGCAGGCGCCUGUGUGAGAAUAAACGCCUCCUGCUUUUUGCA
This is a long non-coding RNA of Marmota monax (woodchuck), 1949 nucleotides long. RefSeq lists it as uncharacterized. The transcript is spliced from 2 exons. Lineage: Eukaryota; Metazoa; Chordata; Mammalia; Rodentia; Sciuridae. The record is from RefSeq and is a predicted model, not a curated record.